UCCUGGUCGGACAUCAGGAGGUUAGUGCAAUGGCAUAAGCCAGCUUGACUGCGAGCGUGACGGCGCGAGCAGGUGCGAAAGCAGGUCAUAGUGAUCCGGUGGUUCUGAAUGGAAGGGCCAUCGCUCAACGGAUAAAAGGUACUCCGGGGAUAACAGGCUGAUACCGCCCAAGAGUUCAUAUCGACGGCGGUGUUUGGCACCUCGAUGUCGGCUCAUCACAUCCUGGGGCUGAAGUAGGUCCCAAGGGUAUGGCUGUUCGCCAUUUAAAGUGGUACGCGAGCUGGGUUUAGAACGUCGUGAGACAGUUCGGUCCCUAUCUGCCGUGGGCGCUGGAGAACUGAGGGGGGCUGCUCCUAGUACGAGAGGACCGGAGUGGACGCAUCACUGGUGUUCGGGUUGUCAUGCCAAUGGCACUGCCCGGUAGCUAAAUGCGGAAGAGAUAAGUGCUGAAAGCAUCUAAGCACGAAACUUGCCCCGAGAUGAGUUCUCCCUGACCCUUUAAGGGUCCUGAAGGAACGUUGAAGACGACGACGUUGAUAGGCCGGGUGUGUAAGCGCAGCGAUGCGUUGAGCUAACCGGUAC
RNAcentral lists this ribosomal RNA (582 nucleotides) under Shigella flexneri. Its description in RNAcentral is "partial 23S ribosomal RNA". It matches the Rfam family "Bacterial large subunit ribosomal RNA", at positions 2325 to 2901 of the family's 2925-position model. The record is from RNAcentral. Lineage: Bacteria; Pseudomonadati; Pseudomonadota; Gammaproteobacteria; Enterobacterales; Enterobacteriaceae.